Molecule: ribosomal RNA, 1372 nt
Filed under: uncultured bacterium
Lineage: Bacteria
Description: bacterial SSU rRNA
Rfam family: Bacterial small subunit ribosomal RNA
Source: RNAcentral
GAUGAACGCUGGCGGCGUGCCUAAUACAUGCAAGUCGAGCGAACGGACGAGAAGCUUGCUUCUCUGAUGUUAGCGGCGGACGGGUGAGCAACACGUGGAUAACCUACCUAUAAGACUGGGAUAACUUCGGGAAACCGGAGCUAAUACCGGAUAAUAUUUUGAACCGCAUGGUUCAAAAGUGAAAGACGGUCUUGCUGUCACUUAUAGAUGGAUCCGCGCUGCAUUAGCUAGUUGGUAAGGUAACGGCUUACCAAGGCAACGAUGCAUAGCCGACCUGAGAGGGUGAUCGGCCACACUGGAACUGAGACACGGUCCAGACUCCUACGGGAGGCAGCAGUAGGGAAUCUUCCGCAAUGGGCGAAAGCCUGACGGAGCAACGCCGCGUGAGUGAUGAAGGUCUUCGGAUCGUAAAACUCUGUUAUUAGGGAAGAACAUAUGUGUAAGUAACUGUGCACAUCUUGACGGUACCUAAUCAGAAAGCCACGGCUAACUACGUGCCAGCAGCCGCGGUAAUACGUAGGUGGCAAGCGUUAUCCGGAAUUAUUGGGCGUAAAGCGCGCGUAGGCGGUUUUUUAAGUCUGAUGUGAAAGCCCACGGCUCAACCGUGGAGGGUCAUUGGAAACUGGAAAACUUGAGUGCAGAAGAGGAAAGUGGAAUUCCAUGUGUAGCGGUGAAAUGCGCAGAGAUAUGGAGGAACACCAGUGGCGAAGGCGACUUUCUGGUCUGUAACUGACGCUGAUGUGCGAAAGCGUGGGGAUCAAACAGGAUUAGAUACCCUGGUAGUCCACGCCGUAAACGAUGAGUGCUAAGUGUUAGGGGGUUUCCGCCCCUUAGUGCUGCAGCUAACGCAUUAAGCACUCCGCCUGGGGAGUACGACCGCAAGGUUGAAACUCGAAGGAAUUGACGGGGACCCGCACAAGCGGUGGAGCAUGUGGUUUAAUUCGAAGCAACGCGAAGAACCUUACCAAAUCUUGACAUCCUUUGACAACUCUAGAGAUAGAGCCUUCCCCUUCGGGGGACAAAGUGACAGGUGGUGCAUGGUUGUCGUCAGCUCGUGUCGUGAGAUGUUGGGUUAAGUCCCGCAACGAGCGCAACCCUUAAGCUUAGUUGCCAUCAUUAAGUUGGGCACUCUAAGUUGACUGCCGGUGACAAACCGGAGGAAGGUGGGGAUGACGUCAAAUCAUCAUGCCCCUUAUGAUUUGGGCUACACACGUGCUACAAUGGACAAUACAAAGGGCAGCGAAACCGCGAGGUCAAGCAAAUCCCAUAAAGUUGUUCUCAGUUCGGAUUGUAGUCUGCAACUCGACUACAUGAAGCUGGAAUCGCUAGUAAUCGUAGAUCAGCAUGCUACGGUGAAUACGUUCCCGGGUCU